UCCCUUGGGUCAGUCGGGGUCAGCUGUCCCGGCUGUGUCCCCUCCCAACUCCUUGUGCCCCCCCAGCCUCCCCGCUGGUGGGGUGGGCUGAGAAGCAGUAAAGGCAUUGGCUCUGUGUAAGCAUUGCUCAGCAGUAACGAAAACAUCCCUGUAUUAUUCACACUGUUUUCAGCACAAAUCCAAAACAGACCCCCAUACUAGCUGCUGUGAAGACAAUUAACUCUACCCCAGCCAAAACCAGCACAUCAGGUUUCAGACAC
Aquila chrysaetos chrysaetos is the source of this 260-nucleotide long non-coding RNA. RefSeq lists it as uncharacterized. The transcript has 4 exons. The record is from RefSeq and is a predicted model, not a curated record. NCBI's taxonomy places the organism in Eukaryota, Metazoa, Chordata, Aves, Accipitriformes, Accipitridae.